AAGGUUUUGUCUCCUUGAAUGUGGCUCUUCAUAAUAAUCUCUUGAAGUGCUGCGUUUUUGUCCUUAAAGUUCUAUUUUAUUACCUCUUCUGGAUCGGUGAAGGUCGGUUUAACCCUUUAGAGAUGAAAAUCAGGAGCCACUUUAGGAAAAUGUUGCUUUUUUUCUUUACUAAUUCGUGGUUGCAAUAAUAUUUUAUUGAGGAUUUUUUUCCCCCCAGCCCAGUCCUGCAUGCUGAAGGAAGUGUGUGCUUCAGCACUGAUUAAAGUCAUGUAUGAGUUAAUGAGAAGCUUGCAGAGUAUGUGAAGCAAGAGAAAAUCUUUAACCAGCUCUGCUGUUCCUUCUACAUACCACAAACUUGCACGCUGUAACCAGAAGGUGGAUUGAAUAUGUGUGAAAUGCUGCAGUAGGAGACUCUUAAAUCGCAUCACAGGCUUGCCCUGGAAAAAGGAGAGAGUGACCUUUCCCCAUCUGGAGUAGAUGGAUUUGCCAUCAACAAUUGUAAAUGGAUGACUUAAUGAUGGGGUCCACGCUUGGAAUUUUGAAUUCUGUGAUUUCACCGCGUCUCCGGAGUUCUGCACAUGGUCUUCUCUGAACUGGUUGCAGAAAAGCUUUCAGAGGGGCUGCUGGUGCUGGUUAUUUCCUCUAAUUUGGAGUUUCCUCACACUGGGCUUUAGGAGUCUCUGUUGGCUGCCUCACACCAGGAUUUUGAGGAAAUUGUAUCCCACUUCAUCCAUAAGGACAUCAACCUCCAGCAUAAAAACAAUGUUGCACCAGACCAAACGCUCUACUGAUUUUGGGGGCUGUGAGAUCAACUGUGUCUUCCUUUACCCAGAAAAAUCUGCUUCCUUAUCAAAGAGAGACAUCAGCUUUGUCUGGCAUGAUUGCCUGCGUUAAACCUUUUUUUUUUGCAUUUUAUCUCUUUACUUUCCUCUACAUCUUUGCCCCCUCCAGAGGAAAAAUAAUUUACAUUUUGCAUCUUGCUGAGGUCAGGUUAAUUAGCCUCCAGUUGUCUGGACUUACUUUCCAGGUAUUUGUAUUGAUUUUGGGGUGGUUUUUUCUCCUUUCUCCCCAUAAUAGGAUGCCAAUUUUUGAUUAUUUUUGUACUUCUAGAAGUGAUAGAAAAAAAAAACACUCAUUUGCAUCACAACUCAACUAUAAGGCUUCAUGUUUUGAUUGGGUUUUGCUUGUUGGUGGGGUUUUUUUUGUUUGGUAUUUUUGCCUUUUUAAAGAAAGAUGCUUUGUCACGACUGUGGAUGCAGGAAAAAGUAAUGAAUUGCAAAGUUCUUCAAAAAAUAAUGAUAAUGAGAAGGUCCUUAAGCAAUGAUAGCUGGGUCCAGGGCUCUGUUAUCCUGUGGGACUGUUGAUAAGUGCCAGUGGCUGAUCACUGACAUGCAGAACUUCUGUUCCUUGUGCUGCUUCAGCUUUAUUUAAACAGAAACUGAAGUGUGCUGGGGACUCUGCACUCGUGCACGAGGUAGUCCUGAACAAAACACACUCUAAGAAUAGACAAAGUAAACAAAACAAUGGGAAGACAGUGAAUCCAGAGGGUCAGGAUUACGUAGGGAAGGCUCCAGUGCUCUCAGUGCCCUCAUGAACCCAUGGCACGGGAAAACCGAGGUCAGCCACUAUGUUUCCUGCAGCUGGGGAAAAGUCAUAUUUUUAAAUGCUUUGUUUUGUCGUGUAGUUAAUUCCACUCUUUUCUAACAGCUAAACUGAACAGGAAUCUUUCUGAGCAGGUUUCACUCAGGUACCCAAUUCUACCUAAUUAAAUGUUUGGAUUCGG
Molecule: long non-coding RNA, 1783 nt
Organism: Pipra filicauda (Wire-tailed manakin)
Lineage: Eukaryota; Metazoa; Chordata; Aves; Passeriformes; Pipridae
Exons: 4
Source: RefSeq, a predicted model, not a curated record